RNAcentral lists this ribosomal RNA (828 nucleotides) under Triticum aestivum (bread wheat). RNAcentral's name for it is "partial small subunit ribosomal RNA". The record is from RNAcentral. Lineage: Eukaryota; Viridiplantae; Streptophyta; Magnoliopsida; Poales; Poaceae.
AUGUCCGCGUCCAUGUGCCGGAAGCGGGCGUCCUCCUUCUCCGAGGAACGCUCCCACGCGGAGGCGUCGUCCUCGCCGCUCUCCAAGCGCGCACGCUUCCUCGCGGACGGCGGCAGCCCCAAGCCGCGGGGCGUCGUCGACUCCGACCUGGUGGCCGUGAUCCGCGCGCGGUUCCCUUCCGUGAGGCUUGAGUUCAUUGAAAAGGCUCUGGAAGAAUGUGAAAACAAUUUGGAUUCAGCGAUGAAGUAUUUACUUCCUCUACACUUAGAACCCACAGAAUAUAAUGUGGAUCCCGUGUAUCAAUCUCCCAAUGAAAUGUCUACUGAGGUUCAAGUGCCCAAUGAAGGUAUUGUAGAAUGUAAUGAAGUUCCAGCACCCAUAGGAAGUGUUCCCGGUGCAGAGAACCUUCAAUCAGGUAUCACCCAAUGGGUUGAGAUUCUUAUGAAUGAGAUGGCAAGUGCCUCUAAUUCAGAUGAUGCAAAGGUUCGUGCGUCAAGAGUACUGGAGGCUUAUGACAAGUCCACGUCCUCUUGUAUCCAUACAGAAGCAAUGCAGAAAUAUCAGAAGGAAAUUUUGUUGUACAAGGAACAAUUUGAAGCCGUCAUUAAAGAAAAUACUAUUCUUAAGAAAGCCGUGGCAAUUCAACAUGAACGCCAAAAGGAGCAUGAAGAGAGAAACCAGGAGCUUCAACAACUAAAUCAGUUGGUUAUGCAGUACCGGGAACAAAUUAGGAAUCUUGAGAUAAACAACUACGCCUUGUCCAUGCACCUCAGACAAUCUCAGCAGGGUAACUCGAUUCCAGGGCACUUUCAUCGGGACAUUUUGUGA